CGGACGGGUGAGUAACGCGUGAGAAUCUGGCUUCAGGUCUGGGACAACCACUGGAAACGGUGGCUAAUACCGGAUGUGCCGAGAGGUGAAAGGUUAACUGCCUGAAGAUGAGCUCGCGUCUGAUUAGCUAGUUGGUGAGGCAAUGGCUUACCAAGGCGGCGAUCAGUAGCUGGUCUGAGAGGACGAUCAGCCACACUGGGACUGAGACACGGCCCAGACUCCUACGGGAGGCAGCAGUGGGGAAUUUUCCGCAAUGGGCGAAAGCCUGACGGAGCAAUACCGCGUGAGGGAGGAAGGCUCUUGGGUCGUAAACCUCUUUUCUCAGGGAAGAACAAAAUGACGGUACCUGAGGAAUAAGCAUCGGCUAACUCCGUGCCAGCAGCCGCGGUAAUACGGAGGAUGCAAGCGUUAUCCGGAAUGAUUGGGCGUAAAGCGUCCGCAGGUGGCUAUGUAAGUCUGCUGUUAAAGAGUCUAGCUCAACUAGAUAAGAGCAGUGGAAACUACAAGGCUAGAGUACGUUCGGGGCAGAGGGAAUUCCUGGUGUAGCGGUGAAAUGCGUAGAGAUCAGGAAGAACACCGGUGGCGAAGGCGCUCUGCUAGGCCGUAACUGACACUGAGGGACGAAAGCUAGGGGAGCGAAUGGGAUUAGAUACCCCAGUAGUC
RNAcentral lists this ribosomal RNA (663 nucleotides) under uncultured cyanobacterium. Its description in RNAcentral is "bacterial SSU rRNA". It matches the Rfam family "Bacterial small subunit ribosomal RNA", at positions 99 to 795 of the family's 1533-position model. The record is from RNAcentral. Lineage: Bacteria; Bacillati; Cyanobacteriota.